This 72-nucleotide transfer RNA is filed under the name Hysteromorpha triloba. Its description in RNAcentral is "tRNA-Gly". The record is from RNAcentral. Lineage: Eukaryota; Metazoa; Platyhelminthes; Trematoda; Diplostomida; Diplostomidae.
UUGGUGGUUGUUAGUUUGAAAAUGGCUUUUUAUUUAUUUUAAGAAAGUUCUUCCACAGGGGUGGUCAACAUA